UUUGGAGUAACUUGGGAAUCUUGUUAAAAUGCGGAUUCUGGCAAAGUCAGUGUAGAAUGGGAAUGAGAGUCUACAUUUCUAAAAAGCUCACAGGCAAUAUGAGG
RNAcentral lists this microRNA precursor (104 nucleotides) under Marmota monax (woodchuck). The record is from RNAcentral. Lineage: Eukaryota; Metazoa; Chordata; Mammalia; Rodentia; Sciuridae.